GAGCGUAGACGGUGUGGCAAGUCUGAUGUGAAAGGCAUGGGCUCAACCUGUGGACUGCAUUGGAAACUGUCAUACUUGAGUGCCGGAGGGGUAAGCGGAAUUCCUAGUGUAGCGGUGAAAUGCGUAGAUAUUAGGAGGAACACCAGUGGCGAAGGCGGCUGUCUGGUCUGUAACUGACGCUGAGGCUCAAAGCAUGGGUAGCGAACA
This 207-nucleotide ribosomal RNA is filed under the name uncultured bacterium. RNAcentral describes it as "partial 16S ribosomal RNA". It matches the Rfam family "Bacterial small subunit ribosomal RNA", at positions 567 to 774 of the family's 1533-position model. The record is from RNAcentral.